Molecule: ribosomal RNA, 775 nt
Filed under: uncultured bacterium
Lineage: Bacteria
Description: bacterial SSU rRNA
Rfam family: Bacterial small subunit ribosomal RNA
Source: RNAcentral
CGCUGGCGGCGUGCCUAAUACAUGCAAGUCGAGCGAGCGGGACCAACAGAUUUACUUCGGUAAUGACGUUGGGAAAGCGAGCGGCGGAUGGGUGAGUAACACGUGGGGAACCUGCCCCUAAGUCUGGGAUACCAUUUGGAAACAGGUGCUAAUACCGGAUAAUAAAGCAGAUCGCAUGAUCAGCUUUUGAAAGGCGGCGUAAGCUGUCGCUAAGGGAUGGCCCCGCGGUGCAUUAGCUAGUUGGUAAGGUAACGGCUUACCAAGGCGACGAUGCAUAGCCGAGUUGAGAGACUGAUCGGCCACAUUGGGACUGAGACACGGCCCAAACUCCUACGGGAGGCAGCAGUAGGGAAUCUUCCACAAUGGACGCAAGUCUGAUGGAGCAACGCCGCGUGAGUGAAGAAGGUUUUCGGAUCGUAAAGCUCUGUUGUUGGUGAAGAAGGAUAGAGGUAGUAACUGGCCUUUAUUUGACGGUAAUCAACCAGAAAGUCACGGCUAACUACGUGCCAGCAGCCGCGGUAAUACGUAGGUGGCAAGCGUUGUCCGGAUUUAUUGGGCGUAAAGCGAGCGCAGGCGGAAAAAUAAGUCUAAUGUGAAAGCCCUCGGCUUAACCGAGGAACUGCAUCGGAAACUGUUUUUCUUGAGUGCAGAAGAGGAGAGUGGAACUCCAUGUGUAGCGGUGGAAUGCGUAGAUAUAUGGAAGAACACCAGUGGGGAAGGCGGCUCUCUGGUCUGCAACUGACGCUGAGGCUCGAAAGCAUGGGUAGCGAACAGG